UCCGAGUAGAGCGGCGCACGGGUGCGUAACACGUGGGUAAUCUGCCUCAGGGUUGAGGAUAGCUUUCUGAAAGGAAAGCUAAUACUCGGUAAGCUUACGGAUUCUUCGGAGUCUGUGAGAAAACUAGACCUCUAUUUAUAAGUUUAGGCCCAGAGAUGAGCCCGCGGCCCAUCAGCUAGUUGGUGAGGUAAUGGCUCACCAAGGCUCCGAUCGGUAGCUGUUCUGAGAGGAAGAUCAGCCACACUGGGACUGAGACACGGCCCAGACUCCUACGGGAGGCAGCAGUUGGGAAUCUUGGACAAUGGGGGAAACCCUGAUCCAGCCAUGCCGCGUGAGUGAUGAAGGCCUUCGGGUUGUAAAACUCUUUCGACGGGGACGAUAAUGACGGUACCCGUAGAAGAAGCUCCGGCUAACUUCGUGCCAGCAGCCGCGGUAAUACGAAGGGGGCUAGCGUUGUUCGGAAUUACUGGGCGUAAAGCGCGCGCAGGUGGUCUUCCAAGUCAGUGGUGAAAGCCCGGAGCUCAACUCCGGAACUGCCAUUGAAACUGUGAGACUUGAG
RNAcentral lists this ribosomal RNA (559 nucleotides) under uncultured bacterium. RNAcentral's name for it is "bacterial SSU rRNA". It matches the Rfam family "Bacterial small subunit ribosomal RNA", at positions 85 to 646 of the family's 1533-position model. The record is from RNAcentral.